CUGCUCCAGGCCAUUCUCACAACAAAGCCCACCCCCCAAUCCCAGCUGGAGGAAUAUAGAAAUGACACACCCCGAGCCCUCCUGGAGAGAGUCCUGAAAUGGAUUAAAAGACAAAAAUCAGCUUUCUUCUUUGUGCUCACAGGGCCUAGAGGAGCCUCCAGGCUCCUGAAGGGGGCCAAGUACUUCCAGCCUGGAGUUUGUGGGUGGAAGAAAGAAGAUGGCCAUGUGGGACAGGAACUGCUUUACCCCCUCACUCUGCUGAGUCUGGAGGUUGGUGCUUGCUCACCACUUGGGGCAGGUCAUCUUCCCUCUCUGGGCCUCAGUUUCUACAUAAGUAACAGGGUGGAAUGUAGGUUGGGCUAGAUUCCCUCUAAGGGCCUUUUUAGCUCUAAAUUUCUCUGAAUCUAUUUGCAUCCACAGGAAGUUACAUAAACACAUACACUCAUACAUGGAUCAAAGUCUUUGUUUACCUCCAGGGUUCCUAGCUCUUUCCUGUUCAGCAAAAGAAAUUUGGCUCAGGAUGGAUGAAGGGGGAAAUAGGCAAAUACUACUUCUCCAGGUAACCAGUAGCCGAGCAGCCUCCGCCAGCUGUCUUUUGUGCCAGCUUGGCUGUUGAAGCCCAAGUAACUGGCAGAGACUCCUGCCAUGCCAUUCUCCUUCAAACCUCUGUCAUCUGCUUGCCCACAAAUGUCCUCGUCCCAUUCUCCAUGCAAGCAUUGGUCCUCUGGCAAAUUCACACCAACAUAAUUCCAAACUGCACAUCUAUUUCCACAUUCUCUCAUCAGUAAAUUGCUUUGUCACUUUGCCAAUGACUUAGCAGCAAUAGGGCUCCCCAGCUACCUAUUGCUUCCCUCAUCAUCCCUCGCCCUCUAGAGUUCCUUUGGAGGGUUCAGAAUGAAUCAAGGGUCCAGUGGAGAUCCUAUUUCCUUUAUCAUCCCCUCCAUGUCUGGAGAAUAGAAUGGUAUCAGGAUGCUCUUUAGGGGCACAAUUAGGAAGACUUUUCCUCCUCUCUCCUCACACCUUUCUGGCCUCAGAACCAGUCCUCUCUUUCAGGUCUUCCCUCCAUCCCUGAGAGACCCUGGUAGUAUCAAAGUCUCUAAGGUAUGGUGGAAAGAGAUAAGGAGUCACACUAGUAGUUGUGGGAAGCAGGCUGGCUCCUGUAAGCUGUCUGUAGGGUAAUGAAAGGAGGACUUUGCCCACAGUAGGGGCUCUACACAUGAUGGUUGGCUGGUUCCUAGGAUGGGUGAAAGAACAUAAAGGCCACAAGUUCUGUGGGUCCCAGAGGCCUGCUGCUCCAACAUUGUGCCAGGAAGAUUCUUCUGAACAC
Long non-coding RNA from Homo sapiens (human), 1327 nucleotides. The record is from Ensembl. Lineage: Eukaryota; Metazoa; Chordata; Mammalia; Primates; Hominidae.